GCCCUGGAGAUGCAGCCGGGAGGAAGAGCUGGGCCCGGAGGGGGCUCUCCAGGCCCAGCUCUCGCCCCACCGCGACCUCCCAGGCCCAAGUCCCUGCCUACCUCCCAGCAGCCCGAGUGCGAUCCUGUUCCUCCCUCACGGUGGCCUGUUGAGGCAGGGGGUCACGCUGACCUCUGUCCGCGUGGGAGGGGCCGGUGUGAGGCAAGGGCUCACACUGACCUCUCUCAGCGUGGGAGGGGCCGGUGUGAGGCAAGGGGCUCACGCUGACCUCUCUCAGCGUGGGAGGGGCCGGUGUGAGGCAAGGGCUCAGGCUGACCUCUCUCAGCGUGGGAGGGGCCGGUGUGAGGCAAGGGGCUCACGCUGACCUCUGUCCGCGUGGGAGGGGCCGGUGUGAGGCGAGGGGCUCGGGCUGACCUCUCUCAGCGUGGGAGGGGCCGGUGUGAGGCAAGGGCUCAGGCUGACCUCUCUCAGCGUGGGAGGGGCCGGUGUGAGGCAAGGGGCUCACGCUGACCUCUGUCCGCGUGGGAGGGGCCGGUGUGAGGCGAGGGGCUCGGGCUGACCUCUCUCAGCGUGGGAGGGGCCGGUGUGAGGCAAGGGCUCAGGCUGACCUCUCUCAGCGUGGGAGGGGCCGGUGUGAGGCAAGGGGCUCACGCUGACCUCUGUCCGCGUGGGAGGGGCCGGUGUGAGGCAAGGGCUCACACUGACCUCUCUCAGCGUGGGAGGGGCCGGUGUGAGGCGAGGGGCUCGGGCUGACCUCUCUCAGCGUGGGAGGGGCCGGGGUGAGGCAAAGGGCUCACACUGACCUCUCUCAGCGUGGGAGGGGCCGGUGUGAGGCAAGGGGCUCACGCUGACCUCUCUCAGCGUGGGAGGGGCCGGUGUGAGGCAAGGGCUCAGGCUGACCUCUCUCAGCGUGGGAGGGGCCGGUGUGAGGCAAGGGGCUCACGCUGACCUCUGUCCGCGUGGGAGGGGCCGGUGUGAGGCGAGGGGCUCGGGCUGACCUCUCUCAGCGUGGGAGGGGCCGGUGUGAGGCAAGGGCUCAGGCUGACCUCUCUCAGCGUGGGAGGGGCCGGUGUGAGGCAAGGGGCUCACGCUGACCUCUGUCCGCGUGGGAGGGGCCGGUGUGAGGCAAGGGCUCACACUGACCUCUCUCAGCGUGGGAGGGGCCGGUGUGAGGCGAGGGGCUCGGGCUGACCUCUCUCAGCGUGGGAGGGGCCGGUGUGAGGCAAGGGCUCAGGCUGACCUCUCUCAGCGUGGGAGGGGCCGGUGUGAGGCAAGGGGCUCACGCUGACCUCUGUCCGCGUGGGAGGGGCCGGUGUGAGGCGAGGGGCUCGGGCUGACCUCUCUCAGCGUGGGAGGGGCCGGUGUGAGGCAAGGGCUCAGGCUGACCUCUCUCAGCGUGGGAGGGGCCGGUGUGAGACAAGGGGCUCACACUGACCUCUCUCAGCGUGGGAGGGGCCGGGGUGAGGCAAGGGGCUCGGGCUGACCUCUCUCAGCGUGGGAGGGGCCGGUGUGAGACAAGGGCUCAGGCUGACCUCUCUCAGCGUGGGAGGGGCCAGUGUGAGGCAAGGGCUCAGGCUGACCUCUCUCAGCGUGGGAGGGGCCGGUGUGAGGCAAGGGCUCAGGCUGACCUCUCGCAGCGUGGGAGGGGCCGGUGUGAGGCAAGGGGCUCACGCUGACCUCUGUCCACGUGGGAGGGGCUGGGGUGAGGCAAGGGCUCACACUGACCUCUCUCAGCGUGGGAGGGGCCGGUGUGAGGCAAGGGGCUCACGCUGACCUCUGUCCGUGUGGGAGGGGCCGGUGUGAGGCAAGGGCUCACACUGACCUCUCUCAGCGUGGGAGGGGCCGGUGUGAGGCAAGGGGCUCACGCUGACCUCUGUCCACGUGGGAGGGGCCGGGGUGAGGCAAGGGCUCACACUGACCUCUCUCAGCGUGGGAGGGGCCGGUGUGAGGCAAGGGGCUCACGCUGACCUCUGUCCGCGUGGGAGGGGCCGGUGUGAGGCAAGGGCUCACACUGACCUCUCUCAGCGUGGGAGGAGCCAGUGUGAGACAGGGGCUCACGCCUCUGGGCAGGGUGCCAGAGGCAUGAGUUGGGCAUCAACAGGCCAUCGUGAGGGAGGAGCUGGGCCGUACGCGGGCUGCUGGGA
RNAcentral lists this long non-coding RNA (2144 nucleotides) under Homo sapiens (human). RNAcentral's name for it is "HSALNT0235621". The record is from RNAcentral. Lineage: Eukaryota; Metazoa; Chordata; Mammalia; Primates; Hominidae.